RNAcentral lists this microRNA precursor (96 nucleotides) under Oryza punctata. RNAcentral's name for it is "pre miRNA MIR439". It matches the Rfam family "MIR439 microRNA precursor family". The record is from RNAcentral. Lineage: Eukaryota; Viridiplantae; Streptophyta; Magnoliopsida; Poales; Poaceae.
AACUACCCUGUCGAACUGCCACAGUUCGACAGGCACAUGUCGAACUGAUAUUGUUCCACAGGUACCCCUAUCGAACUACGGUUGUUCGACAGGGUG